UGUCUCAAACCGACGGACACAAUUAUGGUUCAUUUGACCGUAAUUCACCCUCCCAGCAGAGUGGCUUUAAUUGACUGCAUCUUGGGAGAGAUUGCACUCCAACCCUGAAGCCAUGGCCACUUCUUGUAAUAGGCUUUGUUUUCAUUAAUUAGUAGACGGCGCUACUAACCGGUGGCGUCCCCAGCCCACUGUGCGGGCGCUGCAGAUCACGCUGCCUGCCCAGACACUGUUCCCGCUGCCCCACAAGCCAACGCCGUCGGGCGCUCAUUCACCGAGCGGGUCCCCAUUUCUGAAAGGCGACCCGAGCAAGCAGCACCUGAUGCGCGCUUGCUAAUGAAGAGCUUUCUCUGUGCUGGCCAGUGAGGUACAGGAUGCGGCUCUACAUCCUGUGUUCGGGUCAGUGUGUGCAAAGCCCUUUCGCUGUGCAGCCCGGCGACAUGGCUGUGUGCCAGGGCACCGAGCAGCAGGAUAUGAGCUCUGACGACAAUACGCAGAUCAAUCAGUCCAUCCCGACAUGUGUAAAGCAGCACAGGGUCCUCCCGCUACGCAAGACUCUUCCUCUAUCUCCCACCUUAAAAAUGAAAUUAUUUUUGAUUGGGUACACUAAAGAAACACAAAAAUAAAUGGAUAAUUAUGACUGUAAAAUUUAAAGUUGCAUACGAGCAUUUUUAAAAGCAUAACUAUUAAAACACAAUGGUGAUUUCUGUAGACGCCGGUACGUUGCUUCCACAUGUUUCAUGACUCUGAUUGGAUGUAUGGAUUGAAGACAGCUGCAGACCCAGAUGCCAUUUGAAGAGGGAUUAAUCUUCAGAGCUACAGUAUGUGACUGUCACCGAGUGGCAAGACACAGCUUCUCAAGAAUUCAUCCUGCUGCUGCCACCAGCAGUCACAUCACAUCAAUGAAGAGAAGUGAGCCAUUUCCAGUGGCAGUCAUACAUGCCCAAGCCACAACACUACCUCCACCAUGUUUCACACAGAUGAGUUGGUGGCCUGUGCUAUGAGCUGGGAAUCCAGAUGCUGGGCGCGGACCCUGGGGAAGAAGAAGAGUGCUGCGACAAUAGACAGGGGUAUUAAUUAUCAUGGAGAGGUGC
Long non-coding RNA from Anguilla rostrata (American eel), 1091 nucleotides. RefSeq lists it as uncharacterized. NCBI's taxonomy places the organism in Eukaryota, Metazoa, Chordata, Actinopteri, Anguilliformes, Anguillidae. The transcript is spliced from 3 exons. The record is from RefSeq and is a predicted model, not a curated record.